UUUAAGUAGAAAAUAAAAAUCCUACGGAAAAGGGCCUAAAAUGCCCAUUUACUAUAUGAAAUAGGACAUACUAGCCUUCCGUUAAAAGUUGGUAUCUAUUCUGCCCUUGUCGUCAACAAAUGUGCUCGUAUAUGCCCUCCAUCACUAACGGGAGACUCAUAAAGCCACGUGAAAUAUAUGUGAGGGCAAAUUAGACCUAGUUCAAAUUGUACAGGGGCAUAUAUGAGUCAGUUAUAAUAAUCAUUUCUCAAACACUUCACAAUUCCAUAUCAGUUUACUUAGACACCUAUUUGACAACACCAAACUAAUUAUCAUAGCAAAUAAACUCAGUCAUAGACACAAUAAAUGAACAACAAUGACUUCAUUAAAUCCUUGUACAAAAACAUAAUGCUUCAUUACAUAAUAAAAGACAAUAAUUAAGCCACAAUAACACUAAAAUUAUAAAUUAUUUCCCACUGAUCCAAAGAACAUAAUAAAACAUCCCAAUAUCACACACAUGAAAAUCCACAUCUUCUUCCGAAAUUUAGCAUCAAGCACAACUGAGUACUCUAAAUGUCAUGACCCAAAAUCUCAUCCGUCGUGAUGGCACCUAUCUUAAUACUAGGCAAGCCGACAAUCCCAAUAAACCACCAUAUCUUAUAAGUUUGAAAACAUAAUAUCUAAAUUUAGCGAAAGAAAAACUCACAAAUACAUAUAUAAACACUCCCAAAACCGGGUGUUACUGAGUACAUGAGCAUCUAAUAUGAAUACAAGUCUGAAAAAUACGGUCCAUAAUAGUCUGAGACCAAAUGCAGUAAAUAAGGAGAUAGGAAAGGAGGGGCAAGGUCUGCGAAACACGACAGCUACCUCUGAAUCUUCGAAAAAUCAACUGUGCUAGAGAAUCAACACCCGCUAUGUCCGAAAAUACCUGGAUCUAUACACGAAGCGCAAGGUGUAGUAUGAGUACAAUCAACUCAGCAAGUAACAAUAAUAACUAAGGAAUUGAAGAUAAUGACGAGCUACACAGUUAUAGUUCAUUUUCAAUAAUUCCAACAGAGAAUAGAUAUGCUUUUAAAUCCAGCAGUUUAAGUCAAAUCAAUUUAUACAGUUCAAGUUCAUAUAAUUUGGAUAUAAAAUCUUUCAGAGAGUUUCACAAUGAUGACAGAUAGCAACUAAGUGCAACGACAAAUGAAAGCAAGUACAGCCUCUCAGGCAACAGUCACUCAACUCGUCACAAUAACUCAAUCAUUCGGCUCUCAGCCCUCAGCACUCACACUCAAUGGGAACCUGCGCUCGCUCGGGGUAUACAAACUUCGGAGGGGCUCCUACAGCCCAAGCGCUAUAAUCUGCACGGACAACUCACGUGCCAUAAUAUAAAUAUCUGGAUCCGUACGGCCAACUCACGUGCUAUAGUAUAAUAUAAGGAUCCGCACGCCAACUCACGUGCUGCACGGCCAACUCACAUGUUGCACGGCCAACUCACGUUCUAUAGUAUAAUAUAAGGAUCCGCACGGCUAACUCACGUGCUAUAGUAUAAUUUAAGGAUCCGCACGGCCAACUCACGUGCUGCACGACCAACUCAGUCAUAAAGCUCUCCAGUCUCUCGGGCUCUCCACAAUCAUAAAAUCAGCCCAAACAACAAUGAUAUGAUACAUCAAUAAUGAAAUGAACAAUAGAGACUGAGAUAAAAUAAUCAAGUAAGUUGUGACCGAGUACAAAAUAACAAUUUAAGCAGAUAAUUCACAUGUACACGACCUCUGCGAGUCCCAACAAUACCAACAUAUAGCCUAACAUGAUUUCUAGCAUAACUUAUAGUCAAGUUUCCACAACACAUAGAGAGCACAUAACUAUCAACAAGUUAUUGAGCUUUACAGUUUCCAUAGGACGGACCAAGUCACAAUCCCACGGGACGGACCAAGUCACAAUCCCCUCGGUGCACGCCUACACCCCCACACGCCCGUCACCUAGCAUGUGCGUCACCUCCAAAAUAAUCACAUGACACCAAAAUUCGGGAUUUCAUACUCUCAGGACCAGAUUUAAAAUUGUUACUUACCUUAGAGUGUGAAAUUCUUUACUCUACUAUGCCCUUGCCUCGCAAAUAGGCCUCUGAAUGCCUCGAAUCUAGUCACAAUUAAUUCAUUUCGGUCAAUAAAAUUCAUUGGAAUUAAUUCCAUAAGAAAAUGCUAAUUUUUCAUAAAAAAUCGCCCGUGGAGCCCACAUCUCGGAACCCGACAAAAGUUACAAUCAAAUCCGACUCUGAAUCGGUGUUCAAAUCCCAAAAAUUUAUUUUAUGAAAUUUCUAUAAUCUUACCCCGAUGAAUUUCUUGAAAACUCACGAAAAAUCGUCUCAAACCGAGCUUCCAAGGUCCAAAAAUAAAAUAAUGACCUAAGUCUCGGUUAUAUAGUACAUUCUCUGAACUCACUAUGUGCGGUCCGCACAAUUUCAAGUGUGGCCGCACAUCCCAGCUCCUGCGGUCGCACAAAAAUUGUGCGGUCCGCACUUCGCAGCCUCUCCACUACCAGGCUUCAGUAAAUUAGCCAUAACUUUCUCUACAGAUGUCUAAAUGAUACUUAUUCACCUUUCUGGAAACUAGACACGAAGAGCUAUAAUUUUUGUUUUUGAAUCAUCUCAAAAUUCUUUGUAGAUCAAAAGAUAUAAGCUUCUGAAGUCGGACCGGCGAAUCUGCAGAACUCCCUGGAGUGCGGCCGCAGACAGAAUUGUGCGGUCCGCACUCCUCCUCCCAGGUCCACAUUUUUCACCCCAAAAUGUGCGGUCCACACCCCCAAAAGUGCCAGAAGAAUAUCAAAGUGCCGAAAUGCCCGGACUCGCUCAAAACUCACCUCGAAACUCAUCCGGAACCUCCCAGACACAAACCAUAUAUGAAUUUCAAUCAUAAAACAUGCUACGGACCUUCUCGUGUACUCAAAACACUGAAAAGAGAUUGUCUUGACCUGAUAUUGACCAUGGCCAAACUCCCAAAUUUUUUAACUUUACUAAUCUCUCAACCAAUGAUCAAAAAAUACACCCAAGCCCCUCGGGACCUCAACCAAAUAUACCAACACGUUCCAUAACAUAACACGGACCUACUCGAGGCCUCAAAUCACAUCAAAUAACAUCAAAACAUCGAAUCUCACCUCAAAUCAAAAUCUAUGUCUUGUGCCGAAACACAUCAAAUCAAUCCGGAAUGAUUUCAAAUUUUGCACACAAGUCAUAAAUUACAUAACGAAGCUAUUCAAAUUUCCAAAAAUGGAUUUCGACCCCGAUAUCAAAAUGUCAACUCCCCGGUCAAACUUUCAAAAUUUAACUUUCGGCAUUUCAAGCUUAAUUCCACUAUGGAUGUCUAAAUAAUUUUUCGGACACGCUCCUAAGUCCAAAAUAACCAUAUGGAGCUAUUGGAAUCAUCAGAAUUAAAUUUCUAGGUCGUUUACACAUAAGUUAAUAACCGGUCAACUAUUUCAACUUAAGCUUCAAACAUGAAAAUUCAUUCUUCCAAGCUAACUACGAAAUACCUUAAAACUACAACCGAUAAUUUACACAAGUCAUAAUACAUCGUAGGAAGUUAUUCAAUUCCAAGGCUUCUAUUCCUCCAUGAUCGAUAAACAUCAUAAUAUUCUCAAGAUCAAAUUUUCCUUUGGAGAGUAUUUCUUUCACGGAUUAGAGCUUCUUUUUCCUUCUUUAAACUGCAUAUGAGAUUUGAAACUCUAGGAGGUAGCUCUUUAUCUUGCCAUUCCCAAUAGGAAUAUUUUUCGUCCUAAAAAUAAAAAAUAAAAAAAAUAAAUUUACAAGCAAAUCGGGAUAAUUAAAAGAACCCAUCAAAAAAUUUACUUACCUCAUGCUUCGGGCACUUGAAAAAACUUGUCCCAGCAUUUAAAGGAGUCCAUGCUAUGAAAUAAUUGGCAGCAAGUCCGCAAUGACACCUCCUAUUCGACCCCUUUAAGCUACUAGAACAUUCUGACAUUGUCUUUUAUUAUGAUUCGACCCCUUUGAACUACUAGGAUUUAAUGAAGUCAUUGCCGUUCAUUUGAAUGUUUGUGUCUAUGACUUAGUUUAUUUGCUGUGAUAAUUAGUUUGGUGUUGUCAAAUAGGUGUUUAAGUAAACUGAUAUGGAGUUGUGAAGUAUUUGAGAAAUGACUAUUAUAACUGACUCAUAUAUGCCCCUGUACAAUUCGAACUAGGUCUAACUUGUCCUCACAUAUAUUCCACGUGGCUUUAUGAGUCUCCCGUUAGUGAUGGAGGGUAUAUACGAGCCCAUUUAUUGACAGCGAGGGCAUAAUAGAGACCAACUUUUAACGGAGAGCUGUCAUAUUCUAUUUCAUAUAGUAAAGGGGCAUUUUAGGCCGUUUUCCGAAAAUCCUAAGACUACAAAACCUAUCUAGAUAUUACUUAAGAAAAACUAAUCAAUACCAAAUCCUGAAUAAUUCAGAUUUCUCAACUCCAAUUUUAAAUUAGUCUUCAACAAAAGUUCAAGUGACUUGUAUUAAUCGAUUUCCAAACUUGCAUAGUAAUGAAAAAUAUCUUCAAAAGUAACCUGACCACUCAUGUGGCGUUUUAAGAUGUAUGAAUAAAGAAACAAAUAGAUACUAAUAUAGUUAAUGGUACAAAAUGUUACACCUUUUCCUCGUAGAGUGUGUAAGAAUUUUCGAAUAGUCACCUUUACGUCGGCUUGGAAAGCCAUGUGUAAUUACCAAAUUGUGUAAUUACACAAUUUGAUAAUUAGUAAUUAAAUAACCUGUUUGUUUGAGAGAACACAAUUACAUAAUUAAAUAAACUUUUUUCAGAUUAACCUAUCAAAACAUAUCAAAAAAUAUAUUAAAUGAUUAUAUAUUUAUAAUAAUAUCAUAAAAAUAGUAAGUAUCUUUCAAAUAAAUAAUAUUAUUACUUAAAUUAAUUAAUUCAAAUUUCAGAAACGAUUUAAGUUCUUACUAACUCAUUAAUGUGUGACAAAAAAUGUAUAUAUAAGAAAAGCUAAAUAUUAUUUAUAAUUAGAUAUUUAAAUUGUAAUUUUUAAAAAUAAAAGCAUUAGAUAAUUAUAAAUUGAUAACUAAUAUCAGAAAGAAUUAUCAGUAUCUUGAUUAUCUUUCAAAUAAAUAAUAUUUUAGCUUAAAAUAAUUAAUAUAGUUUUCAAUUAUGAAUUAAAGUUUUUACCAACUUAAAUGAGUAAAAUAUUAAAUUCAUAAUUUGUUGUACUUUUUAAUUACAACAACUACAACAAACCCAGUGUAAUCCCAUAAGUGAGUCUGGUGAGUGUACUUUUUAAAUAACAAACGGAUAAAUAUGAGUUUAGGGGGUAUUUUUUAAAUAAUUAUUUCAUACUAAUGAGUAGAAAACAAAGCUAGUAAAAUACGAAAUUAUGUUUAACAACUAAGAAAAUAAAGAAAAUAAUAAAGGAAGAGAGGUUGCGAAAUUAUAUGGAAGCACACCUUAAGUAACACGUUUGAAGGUUAAGAAAUGAGAGUAAGAGAAAUAAAAAAGAAAUAUUAUAAAAAGAAUAGUACUUAAUAUAUUCAAAAAAUAAAAAUAAAAAAAGAUCAGAAGAGUUACAUUACCUUACCACUAUUUCUCACAUUUCUUUUGAGAAUUGGAGAGUGUAAUUACAAUCUUUCAAUUACACCCAAUUUCACGGUGAUCAAGUAAUUACUUGGCCAAAUAAACAUGCUAAACUUUGUAAUUACACCCAAUUAGACCCAAAUCAAAUUCCUAGGUGGUUUUCAAAAUAGGAACUUAAUUUGGAUCCAAAUUAAAAAUCAUGUAAACAUAGUUGCUCCUGGCCAGAGUUCUAAAAAACGCGGGCGUGAAACAAAGUGCUUUAUCUGAUGUGGGGCGAUGCCUUAGCCUCGAAGCACUAUGCUUUAAGCUUAUGGAUCUUUAAUUUUUUAAAUUUUAUAUAUUACUAUUAUAAAAAUAUAUAUUAAAAAGAUAAAAUUACACAAAGUUAUAGAAAUUUGAAGAAAAGAUAGAAGAAGUGAAAUGUAUAUAGAACUAGUUCAUCUUAAAAUGCAAAUUUGAAUAAGCAAUUGACUAAUAGCCUGUUUGGCCAAGCUGAAAAAAUCAGCUUAUUUUGAGAAGUAUUUUUUCAAAAAGUACUUUUGAAAAAAGUACUUUUGGAGAGAAGUAGUUUGUGUUUGGCUACUCAUUCUGAAAAAUACUUUUGAGCAAUAAUUUGUGUGUGGCCAAGUUUUUCAGAAAGUGAUUUUAAGUAUCAAAUUACGAAUAAAGACGUGAAUAAAUUUAAAUAUUUAAUAUUAUAAGUAAAUAAAUAAUCUAAUUUUUUUUAUUACAUGCGAUAAUUAAAUCUUUUCAUUUUAUUUAAGUAAAAUAUGAAAAUAAAAUUUAAAAGUACUUAAUUCUUUUGAUAUAAGUUAAAUAUAUUAAAAAACAUUCAACAAAUAUAAAAAUAUUCAUCUCUAAAGUCACUAUAUAUUAGAAAACUAUCCUAAAAAUAAUAAGAAAUAUUUAUACAUUAAUAUCCUAAGUAUUAGGUUUAACGGUUAUUUUGGUAUACACUAUAUUUUGUUAAGGGUAUUCUUGGUAAGAAGAAAAGUUAAAAAUGCUUAUGUUUCUGCUUUUGGAAGGAAGUUACUUUUUAAUUUCUGCUUCUCAGAAACUUCCCAAAAAUACUUUUUUCCUCCAAAAAGCUUGGCCAAACACCUGAAGUUAGGAAAAAAAAGUUCUUUUGGGAAAAAAAUACUUUUGACCUCUUGAAAAGUUUGGCCAAACAGGCUAUAAAAAACUAAUCAAAACUGUUUCAUGACAAAAGCUAAUGAGACUUUGGAAAAAAAAAUUGAGUAUAAAUUUAUAAACUAAAGUGAAAUAGCAAAAUAACUUGAAAAGAAAGAAAAAAAAGAAGAAACCAUCAGAAACGUUGAACCAGAGCAAAUCAUGAAGGAUGAUGCGUUUUGAUUUUAUAGUAUUGCAAAUUGAUAAUUAUUUCCUUUGUGCGGUAGAAGACAAAGAGAAAGAGUAAAAAUUAGGGCUAGGAAUAAAAAUCUUUUGACUUUUAACUAUUUAAGAUUUUUAGAAUGUAAUAAUUAUUUGACUUUAGUGUUUUUGUGGUAUUAAAUUAAGGACUCAUUUAGCUUUUAAUUCUAUUUUGGAAAGGUUUCUCGGCUUAUGCCAUAAAAUAAAAACUUGCCCAACAUCUAGGCGUACGCCUAGGAAAUGAGCCUUAUGUCUUGUGAUACUUUCGCCUGCGGAUAGCCCCGGUGCAUAUUUACUAUGCCUCGUCCAGGGUUUGCCACGGGAUUGAUUCAAAAACGCCUUUUAAAAUACUACUCCUGACAUAUCAGCGCAAAUGCUAUAAUUUGUCCAAACUAGCUGAUUCCGCAGCACAUAGAGAGCACAUAAACUGUUGAGGUUGGCCCUAAAUCAUAUGAGAACUAGAAAGUAUAUCAGUCUAGAUCAUAGUUUAGUUUAUGUCUUUGCUUUUUACCUGUGUCAAUAAAAAAUAUCAAGAUUUUUUUCCACAAAUAGGGAAUUUACUCAGCAUUUCUUGAACUAUAUUGGAGCUUUACAAAGUGGCAGAAUAUCUCCAUACAUGGAUGCAGUCGUUUAUUCAUAUGACUGUUGAAUUGCUAGUCGAUGAAAGUUUAUUUUUGUUUUCGUUUUAACGAUUGUUACUAAAGUUACUUAUCAAUGUAAAAAGCUUGACGUUUUGAGCAGAUCAUAUGUUUGCUAAUUCUAGUUUGGAUAUUUGAAUAUCCAAAUUCUUUUAUUUUUCAGAGUUCCAAAUAUAUCCAUUGACUAAGAAGUUUUCUGUAUUUUAUAAAAGACUAUCUAAUGAAUGUUUUGGGCUUGGACUUAUAAGGAGGAGUUCCAUAUCAGAGUAUUCUCAUUAAGCUUUUCCACAUUUCAAAAGGAUUUUGAAAGUUGAAACAUAAUUUUUAUUUUUAAGUGAGAAUGGAUCCCAGUCCAAGUGGGAUUCGGUAACAUCAAUCAAAUAUACCUGCAUGAAUCCCAGUCCAAAUAGGAUUGGGUAAACAUCAAUCGGAUAUUUAUAUUUGCAAGCCCCAAACCCUUUUCGGUUGGCAAUAAUUGAUUGAUGGAACCCAAAUUCCGUUAGCCCGCCAAUUUCAAACUAUAGUGCGAUUUUCUUCUCCUGCGAUAUCAACCUUAAAAGAUGGGAUGGGGUCUGAAUUAAGGAAGUGGGUUUCAGACAAAUUAAUGUCUCACAGCCCACAGUUGUUACUUGUGUUCUUAAUCUUUCUAAGCAAGCUUCAUCAGCUGCUGAUCUAAAAAAUCAGCUUGUUGAUAUGGGAAAGUCUUCCUCCGACGAAAUACGGGUGUUUGCUCAAGAAAUUUUUGCUAGAGUUGAGCGUAUAACGACAUGGCCAAAUCUUUAUUUACAACAAGAAAAGGAGGCUGCAAUGUUGGCGAGGAAGCAAAAGACCUGCACACUUUUAGAGGCUGAUGAUGUUGACAAUAAUGUUGGUGAGGGAAGUAGUUCUAUGCCCUCUCAGACUAGGAAAGAGGAUACCCGUAAAAAGAUAUUCAGGAGGAGGGUUGAGACUCAUGAAGACGAGGUAGUUAGGAAUGUGGAUGGUGAAAGGCACGUCAGAAGUAAACUUUUUCUGAUUUAAUACAACACCAUCAGGUAAGACAGUAACCUCAAUUCCCAAAAAAUAUGAAGAAAACCCAAGUCUUUGAUCUUAAAUUCAGAGUCUAGAGUCUAGAAAUUAUUUUAAAACUGAAAUCUCAUGCAAAUCAUCACCAAUGAAGAUGAUAUCAUCAACAUAAACAACCAGGAUGACUAGAUGACUAGGAGACCCUUUGAUGAAAAAAGACUAAUCAUUGAGUGAAUGAUGAAAACCUUUAGAAUAAAGGGCUUGAGAUAAUUUGGCAUACCAUUGCCUCGAAGCUUGUCUGAGCCCAUAAAGAGACUUUUUCAACUUGCAAGCCAAAGAGGCAGAAGAAAAAGAUGAAACAGAAAGGCCAGGAGGUAGUUUCAUAUAGACCUCUUCAUCCAACUCACCUUGAAGAAAUGCAUUAUUAACAUAAAGUUGAAAUAAAUACCAAUUUUUCUUAAUAGCAACAACAAUCAAACACUUGACAAUAGACAUCUUCACUACUGGAGAAAAUGUCUCAUUGAAAUCCACCCCCUCAACCUGUGUGUCCCAUUUAAUGACAAGUCUAGCCUUGUAUCUUUCUACUUUACCAUUAGCUUUGUAUUUAAUUUUAUAGACCCAUUUGCACCCAAUAGGCUUCUUACCUUGGGGUAAUUCAAUAAUAUCCCAAGUGUUAUUAGCUUCUAGAGCUUCAAACUCUUUUCUCAUAGCAUCCUGCCAAGCUAAUGUCUCAUUGAAAUCCACCCCCUCAACCUGUGUGUCCCCUUUAAUGACAAGCCUAGCCUUGUAUCUUUCUACUUUACCAUUAGCUUUGUAUUUAAUUUUAUAGACCCAUUUGCACCCAAUAGGCUUCUUACCUUGGGGUAAUUCAAUAAUAUCCCAAGUGUUAUUAGCUUCUAGAGCUUCAAACUCUUUUCUCAUAGCAUCCUGCCAAGCUGGAAUAGGGGCUGCAUGAGAAUAAGUAUAUGACUCAAACUCUACAGGUUGGAUAGCAGAACAGGAAAGAGAACUAGGCAGUUUAUAAAUGUAAUCCUUCAGAUAAAAGGGAUGAGUGUAUGUUCUAUCAGAUUUUCUAAGUAGGGCAACAGAGGUGGUAGAAGAAGAAGUAGAAGGGACAAAGUCAAAGAAAGCAUCAGUAAUGAGAGGAGAAGGUGAAGGAUGGUUGUCAGUAGGAGUUGAAGGGGUGGUAGCAGCAGGAGGUAGAACUGGUUCAGACCAAUAAGGUGGAACAAAAAGUGAAGUAGUUGACAAUGAGUCCUUUGACAUAACUGGAAGGGAAAAAUCUGAAGAGAAAGGAAAUAGUUGUUCAUGAAAAAUGACAUCUCUAGAGACAAAACACUGCUUUGACUGAAGGUUAUACAACUCAUAACCUUUCUUUGCAAAAGGAUAGCCAAGAAAAACAUAUGGGAUAGCUCUAGGUUUCAAUUUGUCUCUUUGAUGAAUUGGAACAGUGGCAAAACAGAGGUAGCCAAAAGUUCUCAAGUGUGAAUAGCUAGGUGUCUUUCCAAAUAACAACUCAUAAUGUGAUUUAUUCUAUAGUAACCUAGAGAGAAGUCUGUUAAUGAUGUAUGUGGCUGUGAUGAGACAAUCUCCCCCAAAUCUGAUUGGUACUUUGGAUUGAAAAAGUAAGGCCCUGGAGUCUUCUAGGAGGGUUCUAUGUUUCCUCUCCACCACACUAUUUUGUUGAGGUGUGUAUGGACAGCUAGUUUGAUGGAUGAUUCCAUUUUCAGAAAAGAAGGAAACUGCAACAUUGCUAUUUCUCAAUUCUAGAGCAUUAUUAGACCUUAUGCUUUGAAUGGUAACAUGAAAUUGAGUUUGAACCAUCAAUACAAAGGCCUUUAGGAGAGGAAAGGCAUUACUUUUGGACCCCAUUAGAUAAGUCCAAGUGCAUCUAGAGAAAUCAACAAUGGUAAGGAAAUAUUUUGAGUCUGAAUAUGUAGAAGUGUGAUAUGGUCCCCAAGUGUCAACAUGAAAAAGUUGGAAAGGCUUAGAACUAUGAAUAGAACUAUCAGAAAAUGGUAAUCUAGUUUGUCUAGCCAUAGGACAAAUAGUACAUGGAAAAGACUGUGUAGAGAAAAUAUCAGAGAAAAUUUCAGAAAUAAUUUUCAUUUUAAUAAAAGGAACAUGUGCAAGUCUAUGAUGCCAAACAAUAUCCAUUUUAUUCAUAGCAGCUUUAUUACAAGAAGGGGAAACAGUAUUUAUAGUACAAGGAAGAUGAUCAGAAAUAGACAGAGAUGACAAGCUGCUGCAGGCAGUUGACAAAGUAACCUGAGGCUGAGAGGGUUUUUUCCAUACAAAUUUUUACAACCCACUGUCCAGUUUACCAAGAUCCAGAGGUUUCUUCAGAGAAGGACCUUAUAUGAGACAUGAAAAUCUAGUAAACUGAAUUAUACAAUCAAAUUGGUCUGUGAGUUUGUGUACAGAUAUGAGAUUGUGCUUAAAGGAAGGUAGAUAAAGGACAUUGUAAAGAAUUAUAGAAUCAGUCAAAACAAAAGAGUCUGUAUAAGUAACUUUUACUUUAUAACCAUUUGGAAGAGACACUAAGAAAGGAAUAGUAAAGGUGUGAUAUUAAUGAGAUAUUCUUUAUUAGCAGUCAUAUGGUCAGAAGCACCAGAGUCAGUUAUCCAAGUUAAGGAAUCAGAUUGGUUUAGCAAAAUAGAGUUGAAACCAUAUACUACAUUCUUAGGCAAUAGAGUACCAGCAAAGUUGGCAGAACUCAUGAUAUUGAGUUGAGGUGCAGGAUCAGAGACAUGAGAUUGCUUGCUGCAACAAGGAGAGCAGUUGAGAGUAUUGCUGCUUUGUUAACCCAGGCACCAUAGAAACAUUUUCAGCAACAGACACAAUAGAGGUUUGAUUGAAAGACGUGCACUCAGAAGCAGAGAAAUCAGAGUCUGUCACCAUAUUAGCAGCUACCUUUCUACCCUUUGUAAACUUAAAGUUACCAGAAAAGCCAUGAAGCUUGUAAUACUUAUCAAUUAAGUGCCCAGGCUUCUUGCAAUACUUACAGAAGAGAUUAAAGGCCCUGAACUGACUAUCAAAGUUCACUCUUUGAGUAAACUGUCUCUGCUUCCCCUGGAAUUGCAUAUUCAGUUGGGGUUGAGUAGUUUUAUUAAGGGAAUUCACAUUGAAGGAGGCGGCUUCAGAGGUAAAUUGAGGAGGUGGGUUGACUUGUCUUUGCUUUUCAUCUUGAAGAAAAAUGUUAGACAUUAUCAAGGGAUGGUAGAGGUUGCAUCAUCAACAUAUUGUUUCUCACACCAACAUAAACCUCAUUCAAUCCCAUGAGGAACUGAUGAACUUUGUCCUCCUCUUUCUCCUUUUGGAGACCCUUUUUAGCAGCACAAUUGCAAGAAUUCGCAUAGGUGCUGCACAUUACUCCCAAUUCAUCCUAGAUUCUCUUAAGUUUGGUAAAAUAUGAAGCAAUAUCAAGGGAUCUUUGAUAGGUAGAGGCAAGUUCCCUUUUUAGUUCAAAAACUUUGGUCCUAUUUACACUACCAUACCUAUUAUUUAAUUGUUUCCAUAUACUUUUUGCUGUCUCAGUGUAUUGAACACUUUCAGCUAUAUCUAGUGAAAACGAGCUUGUUAACCAAAUAUAUCACCAUAUUAUUACAACCGUCCCAUUGUUUAUAAUCAGUGGAAGUUGGAGCAGGUUUAGGACACAAACCAUCAAUAAAUACAAUUUUGUUCCUAGCAAACAACGACACUAUCAUACUUCAUUUCCAACCUCCAAACCCACUCCUCGAAAAUGGCACAGGGACCAAGGACACACCAAGUACAUCAGACGACAAAAGGAAUAGAGGAGAUGUAGGGUUAGGAGUGUACGCGGAAGAAGUCAUGGUUACAACAAUUAACUUACCAACAAACACUUUAGAUUAAAAUCAGAAUCCAACAUAUGCAAAAGAGAGGUGAAAAUACCGGUUUUCUUCGCAACCUGAAGAAGUAAAGCCUUGAUAUAGUAGAGCAGCUGCAAGAAGUAAUGAAAAACGAGGAAACCCUAGCUCCGAGAGAAAUCGACGAAACUCUAGCUUCAACAAAAUAGAAAUCUCAGCCUCCAAUCAACACCAGAAAGUUUCAGUACAAUCUGCACCGCAAAAUAGAAUCAGUCGCAAAGGAACAUAGUGUAUUUGCCGGAAAAUCACAAAAGAAUAACGAAGCUCCGACGAAGAUGAAUCCUUAUGAAAAUUAGGUGAAAUCAGGCAGGGGUAACACCGCUCGACGUAGAUGAGCAAAAUCUAACGGAUUCCCCGCUCUGAUACCAUGAAGAAAAUAAAUCAGAAAGGGAAGCUCGUUAAUGGAGGUUAGGGCUUUCUAGAGAGUUCAUUAGAGAGAACAAACGAAGAGAGAAUGCAAAACAAUCGGCCAAACCUUAACAGAUGUGGCCUCUUCUAUUUAUAUCUUGUUUAUACAAUGUAAAAUGGCUAACCACUAAAAUGAGUAACUACUAUGCUAUAUUAACAAAGAAUGGCUUAUUAAUAACAAAAGGGCUAAACAUAAAUAGUGGGGCCAACUUAAGCCAAAU
This 13057-nucleotide long non-coding RNA is filed under the name Nicotiana tabacum (common tobacco). RNAcentral's name for it is "long non-coding RNA (NTAB_LNC013804)". The record is from RNAcentral. Lineage: Eukaryota; Viridiplantae; Streptophyta; Magnoliopsida; Solanales; Solanaceae.